CUCUCGACUCUUUUUUCCGGGUUAAUUUCGUUUCGCAUUAAAGCAAAACCCAGCCCCGGAUAGAGAAGUGGGAAAGAGAAGCUGGAUUCUAUAGGUUCAGCCUAGGGUGACCAGACAGAACUCCGGCGCCCUCGCCCUUCAGUCACACAGCAACCCAUAGGUAUCAAUCCGGUGCUGGUGCCGAUGAGGAAACCGAGACUCCAAGACAUUAGAUGGUCAUUUUUACCGUAAAAUGGAGGCUGCUCUAAACCAUCAGCUCCGGUCGAAUUUGCUGAAUGAGUGCUGCCCAAAACUCCCGCUGGGAUGAUCGCUUAGCAGCAGCGCGGUGGAGCAUCGGAUUUCACGAAAUAAGUCAGCCAUCCCAGUGGAUUCCUGCCUGCAGAGGGCCUGUCAGCUUGGUGCCUGCAGUCUGCCGCCAGGAUCCCAAGUCCUGUGACUCAGACAGAGCUUCUGGGAGGAGCCGACAGCCAUCUCUUUCUCCAGGAGAACCAAGUAGCUUCCUUACCCUCAGCCUCAUGACCAUGUUUCAGCGCUGUCAUAGACUUGGCUUUUCAGACUCGGUUCUGCUUCCUGUGCUCAGCUCUGAGAUCACAGGAGGAAGGGAGGUUAUUAGUAAAUCCACGUGGAGACCACGGCCCACACCAUCGGUGAGAAUCAACUUGGGACCACUUAUUCCUGGAGACGCCUGAACAUCAACAAGGCAGGUGACUGACCCCAAGGGUUCUCAGCACAGUACAAACAGUAAGAAAAAAAAAAUCAAAAGGCGUACUUGGAUACAGUAAUAUUUAUCCUUACAUCAUUUUAGAGGAAACAACUCUUUUUAGGCCCUGAAAAACUCAUAGAAGAUUUUAAUUCUCAUUGUGAGGUGUUAAGAAGUGGGACCAAAUGAACCUUUAGGAGUUGACUAGGGGACUUGGGCAGCAAGGUAGCUCUGGCACUAGCCACUGGGCGUGACAACCUAGGGUUAAGCCCCAGAACCCACGAUGAAAAGACAGAACCAAUUCCUACAAGGUGUUCUCAGAUUUCCAAUAUACACCAUGGCGCACAUUCCCCUCCCUAGUCAAUAAACAAACAUAAAAAUGACGGACUUCGUAAUGUUAAACAAAAGAGCUGACCGGGCUGAGGGAUCCAUUCUGGACCAGUGGACACAGGCCAUUUUGUGAGUCUGAAAAUCUGUGUCUUACAUUGAGACCCCUUGGCCUCAGGUGUCCCGCACGGAGCCCAACACAAAGGCCAUCGUCAGCCACAAGAACCAGGAACAAACCUCUCCUCACUGAUUGCUCGGACUGGUAUAUCCAUUUAUAGCAACAGGAAACAGCCUAACG
Molecule: long non-coding RNA, 1325 nt
Organism: Mus pahari (shrew mouse)
Lineage: Eukaryota; Metazoa; Chordata; Mammalia; Rodentia; Muridae
Exons: 4
Source: RefSeq, a predicted model, not a curated record